RNAcentral lists this ribosomal RNA (922 nucleotides) under uncultured Bacteroidota bacterium. Its description in RNAcentral is "bacterial SSU rRNA". It matches the Rfam family "Bacterial small subunit ribosomal RNA", at positions 1 to 917 of the family's 1533-position model. The record is from RNAcentral. Lineage: Bacteria; Pseudomonadati; Bacteroidota.
UGUCCAGCUUUGAUCCUGGCUCAGGAUGAACGCUAGCUACAGGCUUAACACAUGCAAGUCGAGGGGAAACGACAUCGAAAGCUUGCUUUUGAUGGGCGUCGACCGGCGCACGGGUGAGUAACGCGUAUCCAACCUGCCCACCACUUGGGGAUAACCUUGCGAAAGUAAGACUAAUACCCAAUGAUAUCUCUAGAAGGCAUCAGAAAGAGAUUAAAGAUUUAUCGGUGAUGGAUGGGGAUGCGUCUGAUUAGCUUGUUGGCGGGGUAACGGCCCACCAAGGCGACGAUCAGUAGGGGUUCUGAGAGGAAGGUCCCCCACAUUGGAACUGAGACACGGUCCAAACUCCUACGGGAGGCAGCAGUGAGGAAUAUUGGUCAUGGGCGAGAGCCUGAACCAGCCAAGUAGCGUGCAGGACGACGGCCCUAUGGGUUGUAAACUGCUUUUAUAAGGGAAUAAAGUGAGUCUCGUGAGACUUUUUGCAUGUACCUUAUGAAUAAGGACCGGCUAAUUCCGUGCCAGCAGCCGCGGUAAUACGGAAGGUCCGGGCGUUAUCCGGAUUUAUUGGGUUUAAAGGGAGCGUAGGCCGGAGAUUAAGCGUGUUGUGAAAUGUAGUGGCUCAACCUCUGCACUGCAGCGCGAACUGGUCUUCUUGAGUACGCACAACGUGGGCGGAAUUCGUGGUGUAGCGGUGAAAUGCUUAGAUAUCACGAAGAACUCCGAUUGCGAAGGCAGCUCACGGGAGCGCAACUGACGCUGAAGCUCGAAAGUGCGGGUAUCGAACAGGAUUAGAUACCCUGGUAGUCCGCACGGUAAACGAUGGAUGCCCGCUGUUGGCCUGAAUAGGUCAGCGGCCAAGCGAAAGCAUUAAGCAUCCCACCUGGGGAGUACGCCGGCAACGGUGCAACUCAAAUGAAUUGACGGA